Molecule: non-coding RNA, 115 nt
Organism: Triticum aestivum (bread wheat)
Lineage: Eukaryota; Viridiplantae; Streptophyta; Magnoliopsida; Poales; Poaceae
Source: Rfam
CAACUACUCCCUUCGUUCUGAAUUACUUGUCGCAUGUAUGAAUGUAACUAGAUAUAUUUUAGUUCUAGAUACAUCCAUUUAUGCGACGAGUAAUUUAGAACGGAGGGAGUAGAUG